CCGUCUUGAAACACGGACCAAGGAGUCUAGCAUGUGCGCGAGUCAUCGGGAGCUCGUAGACCCGGAGGCGCAACGAAAGUGAACAGCGCCGGCCUCGCGCCGGCCGCAGGGAAGAUGGCCCGCGGACUCGUCCGCGGGUCCGCACUCCCGAGGCGUUUCGAGAAAUGCCUCAGCUGCGAUUAUCGAGACGCACUGAGAGCGCACACGCUGGGACCCGAAAGAUGGUGAACUAUGCCCGGUCAGGUCGAAGUCAGGGGAAUA
RNAcentral lists this ribosomal RNA (261 nucleotides) under Dipseudopsis varians. Its description in RNAcentral is "partial 28S large subunit ribosomal RNA". It matches the Rfam family "Eukaryotic large subunit ribosomal RNA", at positions 649 to 862 of the family's 3401-position model. The record is from RNAcentral. Lineage: Eukaryota; Metazoa; Arthropoda; Insecta; Trichoptera; Dipseudopsidae.